CACACGACCGGCGCACGGGUGAGUAACACGUUUGCAACCUACCCUUAACUGGAGAAUAGCUCCCGGAAACGGGAAUUAAUACUCUAUAACAUUCAGACAGGGCAUCCUGUUUGGAUCAAAGCUCCGGCGGUUAAAGAUGGGCAUGCGUGACAUUAGUUAGUUGGUGAGGUAACGGCUCACCAAGACUUCGAUGUCUAGGGGUUCUGAGAGGAUUAUCCCCCACACUGGUACUGAGACACGGACCAGACUCC
RNAcentral lists this ribosomal RNA (251 nucleotides) under uncultured bacterium. RNAcentral describes it as "partial 16S ribosomal RNA". It matches the Rfam family "Bacterial small subunit ribosomal RNA", at positions 88 to 339 of the family's 1533-position model. The record is from RNAcentral.